AAAUUCGCGCGCGAAGGAAAAUCUUAUCGAAGGAAAUCGUUUUAUCUAAAAUUCCUUUUUCUAAAUCGUAUCGUCAUUUUUAUCAAGCAUCUAACGAAUUUUCCAUCUUCGGAAAAGUCGAUAAGGUAUAAAUCAAUGAACGAUGUCGCAAGAUCCAAGCAGAGUGUUGAUUCAGUAUCCGAUCGCCGUCCACUACGAAGAUCACUACCUACAUGGACGAUCGUACGAACGAUCAAGUUUAAUGAGAAAAUUUAAUGAAUUAAUUAACAGAUGAAGAUAACAGCUGUUCAACGUGACAUAUUUCAACAUCACAAAUUAAGCUAUACGAUCAUGGAGGCAGAACGAAGAGAGUUCCCUUCGAGUGUUCGAGGUGAGUCGAAUGAAGAAGAAGAAGAAGAAGAAGAAGAAGAAGAAGAAAAAGAGGAGAAUAAGGAGGAGGUGAAGAUGGAGGAGGAGGAGGAGGAGGAGAAGAAGAAGCUUACCAGGCGUAUCGUAAAGAGACGGGUAAGCACCAGCCGGAACAUUCAUGCUCUAGUGAAAUUAAAUACUAGCGACUUAGCUUCCCUAGAGGCCUUCGAGGCCAUUUAAAUCUCUCGAUUUAAUUUCUGGCGGGAAAAUUGAAAAUCGUUGUUUCGUAUAAUCGAUCCAUUUUCAUUUUCAUUCUUAUGACCGAUAUUAA
RNA transcript from Vespula vulgaris, 679 nucleotides. RefSeq lists it as uncharacterized. Lineage: Eukaryota; Metazoa; Arthropoda; Insecta; Hymenoptera; Vespidae. The record is from RefSeq and is a predicted model, not a curated record. The transcript has 4 exons.